Long non-coding RNA from Schistocerca nitens (vagrant locust), 358 nucleotides. RefSeq lists it as uncharacterized. The record is from RefSeq and is a predicted model, not a curated record. Lineage: Eukaryota; Metazoa; Arthropoda; Insecta; Orthoptera; Acrididae. The transcript is spliced from 3 exons.
AUCGCCGUGUGUUUGGCGGACACGAGGCAACGAACGAACGGCACCAAUUAAUUUGGACUACGCGAUGCUGAGGAGCCUGUGUUAAGCUCCACCCACGUGGUUCGCGGCUAGCGAAGUCAGACUGUCCGAUCCCGUCUGCAACGCUUCUCCAGAGGUCAUGAGUAUCUUCCUGAGGCUGUGCUUUGUGCUGUUCGUGUUGUCAACUGUUGCUGCAGAUUGUAGUAAAGUAAUAGCCCUAUCAGAUCUGUGUCCGGAUCCGUGUGAAGAGUCUCCCUGUAAGCCACACCAGCGCUGCGUGCCGCGAAAGGUUGUGUGCAUCAACUCCUACUGCUGCGACAUUGCGAAGUGCGUGGAUGCC